UGAAUUGUAGUUCUCACAAUCCCAUGUGUCA
RNAcentral lists this non-coding RNA (31 nucleotides) under Homo sapiens (human). The record is from RNAcentral. Lineage: Eukaryota; Metazoa; Chordata; Mammalia; Primates; Hominidae.